RNAcentral lists this ribosomal RNA (465 nucleotides) under uncultured bacterium. Its description in RNAcentral is "partial 16S ribosomal RNA". It matches the Rfam family "Bacterial small subunit ribosomal RNA", at positions 28 to 507 of the family's 1533-position model. The record is from RNAcentral.
GACGAACGCUGGCGGCGUGCUUAACACAUGCAAGUCGAACGGAAAGGCCCCUUUGGGGGUACUCGAGUGGCGAACGGGUGAGUAACACGUGAGUAACCUGCCCUUGACUUCGGGAUAACUUCAGGAAACUGGGGCUAAUACCGGAUAGGAGUCCUUGCUGCAUGGUGGGGGUUGGAAAGCUUCGGCGGUUUUGGAUGGACUCGCGGCUUAUCAGCUUGUUGGUGGGGUAGUGGCUUACCAAGGCUUUGACGGGUAGCCGGCCUGAGAGGGCGACCGGCCACAUUGGGACUGAGAUACGGCCCAGACUCCUACGGGAGGCAGCAGUGGGGAAUAUUGCACAAUGGGCGGAAGCCUGAUGCAGCAACGCCGCGUGCGGGAUGACGGCCUUCGGGUUGUAAACCGCUUUCAGCAGGGGCGAAGCUUGUGGUGACGGUACCUGCAGAAGAAGCACCGGCUAACUACGUG